RNAcentral lists this ribosomal RNA (253 nucleotides) under uncultured bacterium. RNAcentral describes it as "partial 16S ribosomal RNA". It matches the Rfam family "Bacterial small subunit ribosomal RNA", at positions 524 to 776 of the family's 1533-position model. The record is from RNAcentral.
UACGAGGGGUGCUAGCGUUGUUCGGAAUUACUGGGCGUAAAGCGCACGUAGGCGGACUCUUAAGUCAGGGGUGAAAUCCCGGGGCUCAACCUCGGAACUGCCUUUGAUACUGUGAGUCUCGAGACCGGAAGAGGUGAGUGGAAUUCCUAGUGUAGAGGUGAAAUUCGUAGAUAUUGGGAAGAACACCAGUGGCGAAGGCGGCUCACUGGUCCGGUUCUGACGCUGAGGUGCGAAAGCGUGGGGAGCAAACAGG